Molecule: non-coding RNA, 24 nt
Filed under: Arabidopsis thaliana (thale cress)
Lineage: Eukaryota; Viridiplantae; Streptophyta; Magnoliopsida; Brassicales; Brassicaceae
Source: RNAcentral
AUUGGUGUACCGGAAUUGUAUGUU